GUUAUUGCGAUUUUCAUUUUUCAAAGGUUUCUGGUUUAACUAAUCUCAAGUGCAACGGUUUUACUUGUAUGCUAUACAUAUAAUCAAAUUUGAUUCUCUUUAGUGUAAUGGUUAUUGUAAGCAUCCUUUACUACCUGGGAAUUUAUUAUUCUGUGUUAGUAAAAAUUUAUGUCUCAUUGAUUCUUAAUCUUCUUGCAGUGAAGAUGUGGUGGUUUUCUAAAAUUUUUGUAUUUUGCAUUUUGUUGGUUGAUGACUUGUUUUAUCUUUGUGGUUUUCUUUUAAUUAUCUUUUGAGUAGUUGAAUGCAUGCUCCGUUGCUUAAUUGACCACUAUGGUGUUUUACACAAGAAUAUGAGAUAAAUUAUGCUUUAGUUCAGAUAUACAAGUUUGGAAAUCUGAAAAUUUCUUAUCAUUUCUUCCCUUCUCUUCCCCUUUUCUAAAGAAACAUAAUGACUGAUAUCAAAAUCAUACAACUUUCUUACUUCUAAGGAAAUCAUCUAUACAAUUAUAUACAAUCCUUCUCCCAUCAUUCCACAUUCCAGUGAACAUGGCCAACGGCGUUCACCUUUUUGUUUCACAUAUCAGAAUGGUCCUCCUUUUUGGUAGAUUAGUAUGCAUCCUAGAUUAUUGAGAUAAGUAUAUUUUUUAUUGGAUCAACCUGGCUUUGGAAAACAGUAGUACAUCAUAAUCUUUAAUGAUGAUUUGAUGUAUUAUUGUUGUUGAUGCUGUCGUCUUUAGUGUUAUUAUUGUUUUGGGUUGCAUCUCAACGGCAAAACGAAGCCUGUAGUCCAGUUAGUUGUGGUAAGACUUCAAGAGUGUGAUUAACUGGGCUUGUUUAGUGGUAACUGGAAGACCAGGGGAUAAUUUAUUAACCUUUUUUUUCCUUUUGAUUUAAAGAAGAAACCUGCCUUGGAUGGGUCCGGCUCCCCUCCCAUUUGGAAUCCUCAUGUUUCCUCUUUUUUAUCUAGAUGAGUGACACGUGGCAAAUGAUACAUCCAAAGGUUAAAAACCACCCAUGUCAACUAUGAUUUUCUCUUAAUUUUUUGGGUCUUUCUUUCUCUCGUUCUUUCUAUUUCUCUCUUUGCCCCUUUCUCUUAAGUUUUUGCCACACUCAAACAUUGUCACACUCACCUGAGAAUCAAAGGUGCCAAGAUCAUUACUUUCUGGAAAAAAAGAGGUAAAAGUAGGACAAUAGAUGAGAAAAUCAAAGAAGAAUAAAAUAUCUUUCUGCCAAAAGCCAAGAAAGCUCUAUUGUGCAAGGUGGCGGUGAUAAUGUUGGAGAGAUAGCUAGAAAGAGGCAGAUAGAAAGAAAGACCCAAAAAAUUGAGAGAAAAACCAUAGUUGACGUCGGUGGGUUUUAACCUUUGGAUGUGUCAUUUGCCACGUGUCACUCAUCUAAACAAAAACAGGAGAAAACAUGAGGAUUCCAAACGGGAGGAGAGCCGGACCCGCCUUGGAUGACCCAUAGGAGAUCUACAUAAGGUCAAGCCAGGCUCAUACACUUGGAGACAUCACAGGCCCUCUCCAUGAAGAUCUGGUUUUGUGGAUGACCUGUUUGAUAUGUUCAACUCCAUAGAAGAAUUAACAGCCUUCGAGACAGCUCUUGACCCCAUGGAAGAAUUAACAUCCUUGGAGAUGGCUCUUUUAUUAAGGGAUCUGAUUCUGGAUACAUCUGACUCAUCAAGUGAUGAAGAAGAUUUUUAUAGCCCAUGAGCUACUAGAUAUAGCCAGUUGUAAUCAUGUUGAUUGCCUGUGGGGAUUUUCUAAACAUUGCUGUGUUGGCAUUUUGUCAGCCUACUACUCUUUGCAUCAGCAGAAAGAGUUGCUUGUAGUUUUUGAACUCUAUAUUAUGACAAUAUACUAUUAUUUAUAAUUGAUAUCUUGGUUUCCCUGCUGGGGUUAGAUUGUUUCUGCUUGGGAUGAUUACUGGCAUUAUCCAAUGUUGAUGUCAAUAAGCCUUGGAGUGUAGGUUCUUUGGUAGAUAUUUGAUUGCUGGAGCACAUAAUAAUUUUAUGUUUGUCAUUAAUGGUGCUCAGUUUCCUUGGAUACUUUGUAAGCAAAGAACUUUCUUGUAGUUUGACAUGUACACUUCAAUUUCCAGUUUGAAGGUAUUCCUUUUACACAUUUUGUCUUUUUAGUGAGUUUAUGCUCCUUACAGUUUGAUAUUUUAAGACAUUUGACAAACAUGGCCGGUGAAGUGAUUACCACUGUGGUGUAUAAUGUUAUAUUUGUUAUAUUUCUUUCCCAUGAGUGGAAGAGGGGUUACUAAGCUUGUUGAGCUUCUUUUUAAAAACCUUCAGUAAAGGGUUCUGUGGACUUGCUCUAUGAAGUGGUUUGUUUGCAAAUACGGCUUGUUACAGAAGGCUCAUCUUUGUGACUUGUAUGUCAUGUUACAAAUGUACUCAUUUUCUGUGCUGCAUCAUUUUUCUCUAUACAGGUUUAUGAGCCUUCUCAGCUUGAAAGUAUAUGCAUCUGCUUUUUAUUUCCCCUAUUUUGGUUAUGGGGGUUGCAUGCAAUGUAAUAAGUUCAGAGCCUCAUUAGGUUGUUCUGCGUGGAGUUCUCUUAUUGCAGCAUGCAUAUCGAGACGGCUGUCUAGAGGAGGUAGUUCUACGUCAUCUUGGGUCUGAAGAUGGAGAAAUUGUGAUAGCUAAAAAUAUUAGGCUGUCAGAGUUCCUUGGUAACAUGCGUAUAAGGUGAACAGAUGCUGUUUUAUAGUCUAGAGAUAUCUAAUGAUAUGGAGAAAUCAUGCGCCACUUCAAUUGCUGAGUUCUUUUCAAAUGCCAAUGUGGCACUCCAGUUGUUUUUGAGGGGACCAGAACAUGGAGUGUUGGGCAUGCUAUACUAUUUAUCGAGGUGCAUCUUCUAUCAAAGUAAUAAAAUCGUCAUGCAUUAGAUGGGUAUGUUUGAGAGUUCUCAUCAGCUGUCUAUUUAUGGGAUAAUGAUUUUUAGCAAUGGACAUGCAAAUAGCCGUGUUGUUACCUAGUUGUAUGGUUCUCCCUCACCAACAGUGAUAUAUUUGGAACUGUUUAUAUAAUUGUUUUUUCUGGCUUCCAUUCUUGUCAAUAUGGAGCUGUGAUGACAUGUUCUGGGCAACAUUGUUUGAGUCUUUUGUAUUCUAAUCUGAAUUUUUCUGCUGUUUGAGGACAUUGGAUCUCAAUUUCAUUUAUAGAUACUUAUAUCACUUGUUAUACAUGAAAGAUUAGCUUCCUCUC
Molecule: RNA transcript, 3211 nt
Organism: Quercus lobata
Lineage: Eukaryota; Viridiplantae; Streptophyta; Magnoliopsida; Fagales; Fagaceae
Gene name: E3 ubiquitin-protein ligase makorin-like
Exons: 6
Source: RefSeq, a predicted model, not a curated record